CCUACGGGGGGCAGCAGUCGAGAAUCAUUCACAAUGGGGGAAACCCUGAUGGUGCGACGCCGCGUGGGGGAAUGAAGGUCUUCGGAUUGUAAACCCCUGUUAUGUGGGAGCAAAUGAGAAAGAUAGUACCACAAGAGGAAGAGACGGCUAACUCUGUGCCAGUAGCUGCGGGAAUACAGAGGUCUUAAGCGUUGUUCGGCAUGAGUGGGCGUAAAGUGUGCGGAGGCGGUUUCGUAAGUCGUGUGUGAAAGGCGCGGGCUCAAACCGCGGAGGGCAGAUGAUACUGCGCGACUAGAGUAAUGGAGAGGGACGCGGAAUUCGCGGUGUAGCAGUGAAAUGCGUAGAUAUCGAGAGGAACACUCGUGGCGAAGGCGGGUUCCUGGACAUUAACUGACGCUGAGGCACGAAGGCCAGGGGAGCGAAAGGGAUUAGAUACCCCAGUAGUC
RNAcentral lists this ribosomal RNA (446 nucleotides) under uncultured bacterium. RNAcentral describes it as "partial 16S ribosomal RNA". It matches the Rfam family "Bacterial small subunit ribosomal RNA", at positions 338 to 795 of the family's 1533-position model. The record is from RNAcentral.